ACUCCUACGGGAGGCAGCAGUGAGGAAUAUUGGACAAUGGGCGGGAGCCUGAUCCAGCCAUGCCGCGUGCAGGAAGACGGCCCUAUGGGUUGUAAACUGCUUUUAUACGGGAAGAAACACUCCCUCGUGAGGGAGCUUGACGGUACCGUAAGAAUAAGGAUCGGCUAACUCCGUGCCAGCAGCCGCGGUAAUACGGAGGAUCCAAGCGUUAUCCGGAAUCAUUGGGUUUAAAGGGUCCGUAGGCGGGACAAUAAGUCAGCGGUGAAAGUCUGUGGCUCAACCAUAGAAUUGCCAUUGAUACUGUUGUUCUUGAGUGUUUAUGAAGUGGUUGGAAUAUGUAGUGUAGCGGUGAAAUGCAUAGAUAUUACAUAGAACACCGAUUGCGAAGGCAGAUCACUAAUAAAAUACUGACGCUGAUGGACGAAAGCGUAGGUAGCGAACAGGAUUAGAUACCCUGGUAGUCUACGCCGUAAACGAUGGUUACUAGCUGUUCGGUCGUAAGACUGAGUGGCUAAGCGAAAGUGAUAAGUAACCCACCUGGGGAGUACGUUCGCAAGAAUGAAACUCAAAGGAAUUGACGGGGGCCCGCACAAGCGGUGGAGCAUGUGGUUUAAUUCGAUGAUACGCGAGGAACCUUACCAGGGCUUAAAUGUAGUUUGACCGAUUUGGAAACAGAUCUUUC
RNAcentral lists this ribosomal RNA (682 nucleotides) under uncultured bacterium. Its description in RNAcentral is "bacterial SSU rRNA". It matches the Rfam family "Bacterial small subunit ribosomal RNA", at positions 335 to 1016 of the family's 1533-position model. The record is from RNAcentral.